Molecule: long non-coding RNA, 594 nt
Filed under: Homo sapiens (human)
Lineage: Eukaryota; Metazoa; Chordata; Mammalia; Primates; Hominidae
Description: non-protein coding lnc-TEX22-4:1
Source: RNAcentral
GAGGGCCUAGCCAGAACUCCCAGCCCCUGGUGCCAGGGCCUCUCUCCUGACCCUAGUGGGUCCUGUGACCUCUCGAAGGCUUUGAACAAGUAGCGGUUCCAGAGGGGUCAUGCUGGUGUCUUCCCCAUGCCUGGCCCAGGCCCCGCCCCCUCCUUGGGGUAGAGCUGCCAUGACCCUUGCAGCAUGGCCUUUGCCCAGUGGCCCAGACAGGGAGGUGUCCCCGCCAACUGUCAGGGCCACCCCUGCCCUUUCAGGGUCAUACGGUUCCAGGUGUGUGGCCUGUAUAGGGCCACGGGGUCUCAGUGGCUGUUGUGCUCCUGACCCCAGCCCAUCAGCUCCUCGAGGAUGGGGCCCUGCCCUUGGAGCCCAUGUCCAAGGCCCCACACAGGUCCCUGCAGCUGGCCGGAUUCUUGACACCUGCUGUGGCUCUGACACGGGGUCUCCGGGUCUCCCCGACCUGCAGAGUAGCACCUGAGCCUCGGCCAGUGUGGCUGAGGUCACCAGCCAAGCACUGGGUCUUGAGUGCGAGGAGGCCUGAGGCUUGUUGUCUGUCCCAGUCAAUUGCCACUAUGUGAAACCUACUGCAUCUUAAAU